This 253-nucleotide ribosomal RNA is filed under the name uncultured bacterium. RNAcentral describes it as "partial 16S ribosomal RNA". It matches the Rfam family "Bacterial small subunit ribosomal RNA", at positions 524 to 776 of the family's 1533-position model. The record is from RNAcentral.
UACGGAGGGUGCAAGCGUUAUCCGGAUUUACUGGGCUUAAAGGGUGCGUAGGCGGAUUUGUAAGUCAGAGGUGAAAUCCCCGAGCUUAACUCGGAAACUGCCUUGGAUACUAUAAGUCUUGAAUGCCGUUGAGGUUGGCGGAAUAUGUCAUGUAGCGGUGAAAUGCUUAGAUAUGACAUAGAACAUCUAUUGCGAAGGCAGCUAACUAAGCGUAUAUUGACGCUGAUGCACGAAAGCGUGGGGAUCAAACAGG